Molecule: ribosomal RNA, 628 nt
Filed under: Pristimantis carylae
Lineage: Eukaryota; Metazoa; Chordata; Amphibia; Anura; Strabomantidae
Description: Pristimantis sp. ca MRC-2021 partial large subunit ribosomal RNA
Rfam family: Bacterial large subunit ribosomal RNA
Source: RNAcentral
UGGCACCCAACAGAUUUAAACUAAAGUAGCAACUCCCCUAGAAAAUACUACUCUACCUACUGUUAACCUAACACAAGAACAUUUAAAGAAAGAUUAAAAGGAAAAGAAGGAACUCGGCAAAUGUUAAACCCGCCUGUUUACCAAAAACAUCACCUCUUGUUUUCUCAUAAGAGGCCCAGCCUGCCCAGUGACUUUAUUCAACGGCCGCGGUAUCCUAACCGUGCAAAGGUAGCGUAAUCACUUGUCUCCUAAAUAGAGACUAGUAUGAAAGGCAUCACGAGGAUUAAACUGUCUCCUUUCCCUAAUCAGUGAACCUAAUCUCCCCGUGAAGAAGCGGGGAUAAUCUUAUAAGACGAGAAGACCCUAUGGAGCUUAAAACAAUAUUACACGUGCCACCUCACUCCCUACACCAAGGUCAUCACCUCUCAACACGCUGAUAAUAUGUUUUCGGUUGGGGUGACCGCGGAAAACAAAUUAACCUCCACGAUGAAGGGGAUCCCCCCCAAACAACAAGCCACAACUUUACCCAUCAAUAAAUUGACAUUCAUUGACCCAAUACUUUGACCAACGAACCAAGUUACCCUAGGGAUAACAGCGCAAUCCACUUCGAGAGCCCCUAUCGACAAGU